RNAcentral lists this ribosomal RNA (440 nucleotides) under uncultured bacterium. RNAcentral describes it as "partial 16S ribosomal RNA". It matches the Rfam family "Bacterial small subunit ribosomal RNA", at positions 338 to 795 of the family's 1533-position model. The record is from RNAcentral.
CCUACGGGAGGCAGCAGUGGGGGAUAUUGCACAAUGGGGGAAACCCUGAUGCAGCGACGCCGCGUGGGUGAAGAAGCGCCUCGGCGCGUAAAGCCCUGUCAGCAGGGAAGAAAAUGACGGUACCUGAAGAAGAAGCCCCGGCUAACUACGUGCCAGCAGCCGCGGUAAUACGUAGGGGGCAAGCGUUAUCCGGAUUUACUGGGUGUAAAGGGGGCGCAGACGGGGAUGCAAGCCAGGAGUGAAAGCCCGGGGCCCAACCCCGGGACUGCUCUUGGAACUGCGUGGCGAGAGUGCAGGAGGGGCAGGCGGAAUGCCUGGUGUAGCGGUGAAAUGCGUAGAUAUCAGGAGGAACACCGGUGGCGAAGGCGGCCUGCUGGACUGCAACUGACGUUGAGGCCCGAAAGCGUGGGGAGCAAACAGGAUUAGAUACCCUUGUAGUC